CAACCAUAGCAGUUUUCGAGAAGAUGAAGAAGGAGUUUGAGUUCAACAUAUCGGCCCCUAUGCACUUUGACAUGAAUGUGAACAGCAGUCAGACGGUGCAACAGGUGUCAUAUGAUGGAGGAAGUGUCGGUGGAGCUGGGACGUUUCUAGGACGUGAUGGGUCUAAUAGCCUACAUAGGCCUCUUCCUUCUGCUGCUAAUGUACCUACGUCUCAGUGUACCUGACGGCCAGGGAGCAGUGGACGGCUGCCCUCAGCGCAGUGUCCAUUCUCAGGCACAUAGCCAUAGGAUGCCUGGGGUGGCGCUGGACCUGGUGGUCUUCUGGAUGUUUGACCUGGUGCACUACCAAGCCCAGGGGGACAUCGUGGCCAGAGCACCCCAUCGUAUUGGCAGUGGAAGUAAAUGGCACAGGCAAUGCCCUGGACAUCUUCAAGGACAUAGCAGCUGCCUUCGCCAUUCUGCAGAAGGGCAGCAUCACUGUUCUCAGCAAGAAUUGUCUGAUGAAGCCUUCAGAGCCAGACCACUCAGGAUACAUGCUCAUAGCCUCCCAGGUGGGUCCUACCUGGCUGAAAUUAUGGGGGUGUCCUCUGUCUCUUGCAUGGCCUGUGGAAGGGGAGGAGAGGGACAGGAUGACCCCAGCAUGGUCACAUGCAUCACCCCUCAGUGUAAAGGUACAGCAGCCGAACUCAGGCCUUUAAGGUUGUCUUUGUUUGGGGAUUUUUGUUUUUGUUUACAGGACCCCCUUGAAAAGUAGAUAGAUCUGUUUCUUCUACAAGCUCAUAAAAGUUACCUGCCUUUCAUGUACCGCUUUUUUUUGUGUCAUAAAAUCUUACCUUUUUUCCUUGUAAAAUCAAAUGGAGUUUGACCUUACUGUGUUGUGUGUACAGUGAGGGAGUUGACUCUGUUAAAUUGUUGACUCAGCCUAUAAGGAUAAGAAUUCAGCUAACACCUUUGGUGAAGCACAACGAGGGGUGUUUCUCAAAGCCAGAUUUGCAACUCUUUGCAAUCACUUAUUACUUGUUACUUGUUGUUUCAGAAUGUUAACCCAUGUUUGCAGUCCAUAUCUUUUGAUACUAUUUUGUCAAAUAGCCCCUGGUCUUGAUGAGUUUUAUGUUCCUCUUGGCAAUCUGACUUUUCUGUUCCAUUCAACUGCUCCACUGUGGUUUGUUGCACUCUAAUCCGUGUGCUGUUUUAACGUUACACAGGGGUAUACUGUAAGCAGUGCUUACAGAGUAUGGGCCAGGUGUGUGCAGCUUGCAUGGGACCCCUGACCUUUCAGGAGGACUGUGAGAAAGAGCUGGGAGGCAUCCACAGGGACACAUUACUCAUGAUGACCACGCGUUAGACUGUUAAACCUGUUAGACUCUAGCUGCCCACUUAACUAUCGUGUUACACUUUGUUUGGUUACACUUAAAAUACAGUAAGUUACUCACUUGCCCCAAUUGCAUUUUGUCACUAGAAACAAUUUGUAACGUAGUAACUAAACAUAUAACUAAUGUGGAAUAAUAAUGAAUUAAUGAACUAGAAUGUGUCUCUUAGUCAUACAGAAGAGCAGUUGUGUGUUGUAUGUUCCUGUAUGUUCCAGAGACUCCAGUGAUGAUGAGCAGCUGGGCCUGUGGACCGCCGCGCUAACUUGCCCCCACAUCCCCCACAGGGGCACCAGGAGACUGAUGAAGAGGGGGAUCGCCAUGGCAACGUGGCGAAGGCCCUCAGAGAGCAGGGUGCAGCGUGGGGCCUUCAGCAGUAUAGGGCUGGUGGAAGUAGACAAUGGGGACAUAUAUAUAUUUUUUUAAUAACUUUAUUUAACGAGGCAAGUCAGUUAAGAACACAUUCUUAUUUUCAAUCACGGCCUAGGAACGGUGGGUUAACUGCCUUUUUCAGGGGCAGAACCACAGAUUAUUACCUUGUUUCAGUCACUAGUCCAACGCUCUAACCACCUGCCUCACGAGGAGCCUGCCUGUUACGCGAAUGCAGUAAGAAGCCAAG
Molecule: long non-coding RNA, 1985 nt
Organism: Oncorhynchus mykiss (rainbow trout)
Lineage: Eukaryota; Metazoa; Chordata; Actinopteri; Salmoniformes; Salmonidae
Source: Ensembl